This 443-nucleotide ribosomal RNA is filed under the name uncultured bacterium. Its description in RNAcentral is "partial 16S ribosomal RNA". It matches the Rfam family "Bacterial small subunit ribosomal RNA", at positions 338 to 795 of the family's 1533-position model. The record is from RNAcentral.
CCUACGGGAGGCAGCAGUGGGGAAUAUUGGGCAAUGGGCGCAAGCCUGACCCAGCAACGCCGCGUGAAGGAAGAAGGUUUUCGGGUUGUAAACUUCUUUUGUCAGGGACGACGCAAGUGACGGUACCUGACGAAUAAGCCACGGCUAAAUACGUGCCAGCCGCCGCGGUAAUACGUAGGUGGCAAGCGAUAUCCGGAUUUACUGGGUGUAAAGGGCGUGUAGGCGGGGACGCAAGUCAGAUGUGAAACCCACGGGCUCAACCUGUGGCCUGCAUUUGAAACUGUUUUUCUUGAGGGCUGGAGAGGCAAUCGGAAAGCCGUGUGGAGCGGUGGAAGGCGUAGAUAUACGGAGGAACACCAGUAGCGAAGGCGGGUUGCUGGACAGUAACUGACGCUGAGGCGCGAAAGCGUGGGGAGCAAACAGGAUUAGAUACCCUAGUAGUC